GACGAACGCUGGCGGCGUGCCUAAUACAUGCAAGUAGAACGCUGAAGGAGGAGCUUGCUUCUCUGGAUGAGUUGCGAACGGGUGAGUAACGCGUAGGUAACCCGCCUGGUAGCGGGGGAUAACUAUUGGAAACGAUAGCUAAUACCGCAUAAUAGCAGUUAUUGCAUGAUAACUGUUUGAAAGGUGCAAUUGCACCACUACCAGAUGGACCUGCGUUGUAUUAGCUAGUUGGUGGGGUAACGGCUCACCAAGGCGACGAUACAUAGCCGACCUGAGAGGGUGAUCGGCCACACUGGGACUGAGACACGGCCCAGACUCCUACGGGAGGCAGCAGUAGGGAAUCUUCGGCAAUGGACGGAAGUCUGACCGAGCAACGCCGCGUGAGUGAAGAAGGUUUUCGGAUCGUAAAGCUCUGUUGUAAGAGAAGAACGAGUGUGAGAGUGGAAAGUUCACACNGNGACGG
RNAcentral lists this ribosomal RNA (463 nucleotides) under uncultured bacterium. Its description in RNAcentral is "bacterial SSU rRNA". It matches the Rfam family "Bacterial small subunit ribosomal RNA", at positions 28 to 475 of the family's 1533-position model. The record is from RNAcentral.